UUACGGGAGGCAGCAGUGGGGAAUAUUGGACAAUGGGCGAAAGCCUGAUCCAGCCAUGCCGCGUGUGUGAAGAAGGUCUUCGGAUUGUAAAGCACUUUAAGUUGGGAGGAAGGGUUGUAGAUUAAUACUCUGCAAUUUUGACGUUACCGACAGAAUAAGCACCGGCUAACUCUGUGCCAGCAGCCGCGGUAAUACAGAGGGUGCAAGCGUUAAUCGGAAUUACUGGGCGUAAAGCGCGCGUAGGUGGUUUGUUAAGUUGGAUGUGAAAGCCCCGGGCUCAACCUGGGAACUGCAUUCAAAACUGACAAGCUAGAGUAUGGUAGAGGGUGGUGGAAUUUCCUGUGUAGCGGUGAAAUGCGUAGAUAUAGGAAGGAACACCAGUGGCGAAGGCGACCACCUGGACUGAUACUGACACUGAGGUGCGAAAGCGUGGGGAGCAAACAGGAUUAGAUACCCCGGU
RNAcentral lists this ribosomal RNA (460 nucleotides) under uncultured bacterium. RNAcentral's name for it is "bacterial SSU rRNA". It matches the Rfam family "Bacterial small subunit ribosomal RNA", at positions 339 to 791 of the family's 1533-position model. The record is from RNAcentral.